AUGAAGCUCAAAGAUGUAUAUUGGAUAAUUUUUGGUUCCAAUAUACUCUCAAGAGAGAGGAAAAAGGAUAUUUUUUUAUCAAUUCUCAAUAGUUUGGCAGAAUAUUUUAAUGAAUUAAACAAAAAUUUGCCAAAGCCAGGAAAGAUUGAAAUACCAAAAGGAGAAACACUAUAUCUUAUAUUUGAUGGAAAUAAACCUGGCAUAUAUUUGGAAUGGGAAAAUAUUAUGAUUGAAAAAUUAGAUGCAAAAAGAAAAGGACAAGAUUUAACAUUCAAAAGAUAUUAUAGUAUAGAUGUUGCCUUACUUUGGGCAAGAAAGGUAUUAGGACCAGAUUAUUAUAUUGACCCAAAGGCUAAAGACUAUAUCCAAAUGAGAAGAGGCAUACCUGCUUCACCAACUCCCACAAAGGGGGAGGCAUCAAGCUCAAAAAAUAUAAAGAAGGAAGAAUCUCCAAAAUAUAAGACAUAUCAAGAAUGCCUUCUAAAGGGGCUUGACCCUUUAGACAGUGUAUACAUAGAUCAAGAAAUGGAUAAAAGAUUUGAAGAAUUUUCGAAAAUAAUAAAGAAAGAAUUAAAAUAA
RNAcentral lists this ribosomal RNA (579 nucleotides) under Triticum aestivum (bread wheat). RNAcentral's name for it is "partial small subunit ribosomal RNA". The record is from RNAcentral. Lineage: Eukaryota; Viridiplantae; Streptophyta; Magnoliopsida; Poales; Poaceae.